Paramuricea clavata is the source of this 343-nucleotide non-coding RNA. NCBI's taxonomy places the organism in Eukaryota, Metazoa, Cnidaria, Anthozoa, Malacalcyonacea, Plexauridae. The record is from the annotation of a GenBank genome assembly.
AAAAAUUGCUCGUCUCUGUGGAGCUUAAACUUGUCAAAGAAAGUUGUCCAGGAAAACUCAGUUGUUGAUUGUACACACGAGAAAGGAAACUUGUCAAGGAAAACUUUAAACGUUUUGACCGUACACACGAGAAGGUAAACUUGUCAAGGAAAACUUGUUGACCGUGUCAACUUCUACAGAUGUAUCUCUGAUUAUGAUUCUGUAUAAUAGCCUUUACAACUACCUGCCAUUUUGUAUGUAAGUCCAAAUUGAUAGUCUUGAUAUCCUGUAACUGUCUUCUCAAUGAUAUCAACGUAUCCUGUUUAUCGUGAAUAUCUUUUUCCAACAACUGCAUCGCAACCUG